RNAcentral lists this small nucleolar RNA (138 nucleotides) under Ornithorhynchus anatinus (platypus). The record is from RNAcentral. Lineage: Eukaryota; Metazoa; Chordata; Mammalia; Monotremata; Ornithorhynchidae.
CCCUUCUCGGGGUGGCACCUGGAGAGUUUCCAGUCCUCUACCAGUCUCGACUAUGGGAGGGAGAGUCAAGCAGAGGCCUGUCCAUUCCAUUCCUAGCUUGGCUAGUGGCUGGCAAAUGGAAAGCCAUCUGCUACAAGU